UCCCCUCCUCCCUAGGUGCUACUCCGUGCCGCUCGGAUCGUCGUCUUUUGGUGCAAAUCUCCAAUCAUUUUGGUGGAAGGAAGAAGGGAGGAAGGAAAAGGGGAGAACCCAAGGUGAUUUUUCUUUUGUGUUCAUCCCUUGUUCAUUUGCGCUGCGAUUCAAUGGAUUAGAUGUUGCGUUUGCGAUUAGAUAGAGGGGGGGCUGUCCAGAAUUUUGCGUGGUGGAUGAACAGCGGUAGUUCCAGCAGUUUUUAGUUUUUUUUUCGUGAAGAUUUAAUGGGGAUCAAUUUGGGAAUCUUGUAGAGCUUUGUUUUAUCUUUCCAACGAGUAUUUAUGCGCUCAAUUUGGAGUUAUAAAUUAAAAGUUAUCAUCGUUUGAAUCCGGGAAUGUGGCUGUCCAGAAAACAGAUUUUUCAGAGUGAUGAACAGCAGCAGUGUUAGCAGUUUCUGGGAAUUUUUCGGGAGCAAUUAGUGUUAAUCAGUAUUAGAACCUUGUAGAACUUUGUUUUAUCUUUCCAACGAGUAUUUAUGCGCUCAAUUUGGAGUUAUAAAUUAAAAGUUAUCAUCGUUUGAAUCCGGGUAUGUGGCUGUCCAGAAAACAGAUUUUUCAGAGUGAUGAACAGCAGCAGUGUUAGCAGUUUCUGGGGAUGUUUCGGGAGUAAUUAGUGUUAAUCAGUAUGAGAAUCAUGUAGGGCUUUUUCUUAUCUUUCCAACAAGUACUUAUGCGCUCAAAUCGGAAUUAUAUUUUAAAAGUUAUCGCUGUUUGAAUCCGCGUAUGUCGCUGCUCAAAUCAGAAAAAAAAACAGAUUGCAGGGUUUAUUUUGAGGACCGUUUAGAGGUAAGUAGAUGUUAGAAUUCAAUCAUGAGUUGUAUAUAAAACUUGUGGGGAAUUUUAUGUAGUUGUCUCUGAAGUUUUUGUUUAUUAUCACUGCUGUCCUAAAUUUUAAGUUAUGGACUUGUUAAGCAGCGCCGCUGCAGUUUGGUUAGUGAGGGGAGAAUUGUUACCGUGGCGGGGUUUGAGAUUGCGCGUAGGUGCGGUGUUGUCUUUGAGUUUUUUUUUCAUGAGAAUUUGGUGCACUAAGUUGGGUGUCAAAAACAGGUGGUGGACUUCCGGAUCGUUCUUAGGGAUUUUGCCCUAACUUCGGUAAAGGCAAGUAAAACAGUGAUGGUUAUUUCGUCUUUUGAUUGAAGAGGCUCAUACUUGAUUAUGUUUGUGCUAUUUGUGUUCGUAUCCAUUUUCCUAAUUGGGUACCAUCGUUUGAAAUUAUUUAUGCUUUAUUGAUUAUACAUGUGGAGGGUGUGGUUUGAUCAUGUUACCCAUGUGGUUAUUGAUGUGAAAUGGGUGGAAGUAUAUGUCUAGCACAUUUUAUUUGGGAAGAACUCAUGUUGUUGACAUGCAUAAUGCAUUCAUCAUCCAUUGCAUUGAAGUUUUCGUCGCGAUCUUAUGGUCCGACCGUACCGGUACAAAUGAGCAUCAUAUGUUUCCCGAGAAGGGGUAUGAUGCAGCUUCAUAUCCUUAGAGGUAUGAAGGCAGAAGUCAUGUUGCAUCUGUAGCCAUGGGCAUUCAUGGGUGAAGUGUGGAACCUAUUUUGGUGAUGUGGAUAAGGUGGAUCUUUACUUUAUAAUUCAUCUUGGCAUUGAGUAAUUGAUUACUUGCUUACUUGCUGCAAAUUAAUAUUUAAGGAAGAAGUGGGGAACCAUGUGGUUGCUUAUGCACGGUUGGCUUGCAUUGUCCAACUGUUGUUUGUUUUUUUUACUUGCUGAGAUGUGUCAUCUCACUCUUGCAUUGUCUGAUGCAGGCACCUGAUCUUUGCUUUGGGAAAGAAGGGAUGUAGCAGCACGGCCACCACACUUUUAAAUAAAGGAAUAACUGUUUUUUUAAUGAUGUUAAACAGGAAGGGUCAAGUCUAGGGAAUUAUUACAUUCUAAUCUUUCAUGGUAGUUGAACUAUUUAGUUUGGUGGGCUGAGAUGUCUAUCUUUUGUCUGGUCAUGAAUGUUUU
Molecule: long non-coding RNA, 1999 nt
Filed under: Zea mays
Lineage: Eukaryota; Viridiplantae; Streptophyta; Magnoliopsida; Poales; Poaceae
Description: long non-coding RNA (ZMAY_LNC004296)
Source: RNAcentral